CAGGGAAGCCAACCGAGGCAGGAGUGAGGUGACGAAGACAAACACCCCACGAGCACGGGACACGAGCACGGCUCCCAGCCCCCCCAGUCAGGACGCGGCCAGGUGCUGGUGGAAGUAGAGGCCGAAGAGGCUGGUGACGACCUGGCACGCAGCCACCCACCAGGUGAGGAAGGCGAAGAGUCCACGGAAGAAGAGCGGGGUGAGGAUCCCGCCCAGCACGCCCGUGAUCUGCUCCACCGCCGCGCGCACCUCCUCCCCGUCCUCACCGCCGGGACGCGAUGGAGCCGCAGCCACCGCCGCGGGGACGGGAGGGGACUCCGGGUACAGCCCCCACGAGUGGUGCCCCAACGUCUUGAGGAGCAGCGCGCAGUGCAGGGUGAGGAUGAUGGGCCCCAGGUACUGCAGGCUGACCACGGGCACGUAGCAGUAAAUCCUGGUGAUCUUGCGCUGGAUCUCCACGGCGGCGAUGCGUCCCGCUUCCUUCCGCAUCUGCUGCACCCAGCGCUCGGCCAGGCCCAGGUAGGCCUGCAGGUGGGGACGGGUGGCCGCCAGGCGCAGCCCGCACAGCCCCACCACGGCCCAGAGCCGCGCCGUGUUGAAGGCCGAGUCCGACAGGAUCUGCACCGUCUGUUUGCCCAUGGGCGCGUGCAGCACGAAGUCCCGCGAGAUGGGCCUGAUCCACAUCACCACCAGCAGCACCGGAGCCAGGAAACUGACGUGGAGCAGAACCUGGGCCAGGGGUCUGUCAGCCGCCAUCCGGAGGGCGUCGAGGUGCGUCUGGGCCAGGC
This 788-nucleotide long non-coding RNA is filed under the name Gallus gallus (chicken). Lineage: Eukaryota; Metazoa; Chordata; Aves; Galliformes; Phasianidae. The record is from RNAcentral.